Molecule: long non-coding RNA, 681 nt
Organism: Arvicola amphibius (Eurasian water vole)
Lineage: Eukaryota; Metazoa; Chordata; Mammalia; Rodentia; Cricetidae
Exons: 5
Source: RefSeq, a predicted model, not a curated record
UGAAAGUGAAAAUGGAUGACAGGAAAUAAGGUCGUUUACCUAGGACCAGAAUCCAAUUAUCAAAAGGGGAAAUCAUUGCGAGUUAACCAGGAGGUGAUCACAUAUCCCACAGAAGGCAACCAGACAUCAAGGAAAAGAGAGUCUUUAAAUAUAACUUGUAUCACAAACAUUGAACAACAGCAAUGCUGAGGAGUCUCCAUAUGCAAAUACUCAGAAUAUGAUAAAAAAUUAUGAAAAAAUGAAAGUGAAAAUGGAUGACAGGAAAUAAGGUCGUUUACCUAGGACCAGAAUCCAAUUAUCAAAAGGGGAAAUCAUUGCGAGUUAACCAGGAGGUGAUCACAUAUCCCACAGAAAAAAGGAGGUGAAGUGGGAUUUCCUUCAGGAUGCUGUGAAUAACAUUGUUUAAUAAAGGAACUGGGCCUAUUGCAGAGAAAUUUGAGAACAGAGCUAUGGGGAGAAUACUAAACUGAAUGCUGAGAGGAUGAAAGGUAAAUUCAGUGAGAAACCAUGUAGCCCUUACAGAGACAGACACUAGAACUUUAAUUGGUAAGUCAGAGCCACAUGGUGAAACACAGAUUAAUGGAAAUGGGUUAAAUUAAUAUGUAAGAGUUAGCCUAUUAAAAACUAGAGCUAAUGGGUUAAGCAGUGCUUUAAUUAAUAUAGUUUCUGUGAGACUAUUUC